This is a non-coding RNA of Cricetulus griseus (Chinese hamster), 1204 nucleotides long. The record is from RefSeq and is a predicted model, not a curated record. Lineage: Eukaryota; Metazoa; Chordata; Mammalia; Rodentia; Cricetidae.
AUUAUUUUUUUUCUUUUUGAGAUAGAAUUUCUUUCCCAUAGCCCUAGCUUGUCCUGGCAUUAGCUCUGUAGACCAGUCUGGCUUCCAACUCACAGAGAUCCACCUGCCUCUGCCUCACAGGGGCUGGGAUUAAUGGUGUAAGCCACCACUGCCUGAUUUUCUUUUAAUUAUUUAAAGAAAGACAAUUGUUUUCCUAUUCAGAGAUUAAAUUUGAUAUUUUAAAAAAUUAAUAAUGAGGAGAAAAUAUAGUGCUAUUUUGAUUAAUAGUUAAUAAUAACAACAGGUGAUGCUCCUAAAAUAUUCACUUUUGCAAUUGGUCUUUAAACUGUUCACUAUCCCAUAUCCCAUACCAGAUCAAUUUUAUCCCAUCAUACACUGUUCCUUAGUGUUUAUUUCUCUGGAGUCUAAAACUGGACCAAAGGAGAGAAAUACCAUAAUAACUGAAAGGUGAAACCAUUGUAAUAAAAUCAUGGAAGGCAGUGACUUAACUGUGGUAGAAUGCUCAAUAACCUGAUAUUUAACAUUAACAGUGACACAUUAAAUAUUGAGUACUGUGUCUGCUUCCACAAUUCUAGAUGAGCACAUUUUGAUCCUGAGAAAUAUCACUUGGAAAUACUUGGUACCAUACGGGUAUUUAGAAAGAUCUCAUUAAGUGAUAAAUUUCCUUUCUAUACUGAAUUAAUCAUGACAAUAAUAUCUUCUCAAAUUCAAGCCUGGACCACUAGUCAUACUCAUGGAAAAUAUGAUCUGAGACCCUGUAUUCGGCAGUUUCCUUGUACUGGAGAUGUUUCUGACUCUUCAGAUGUCUACAGCCAAAGUUGUAGAUGUACUUGGGAUGGGUUCCAGAUUCAGAUCUGGUUUAUAUUCUCAUUCACACUCUCAUCUUCCAAUAACUUUGUUGCUUUUCCUGGAACAACAACAUUGUUCUGCCCCUCUCUUCUUUCUCAGGCAGAGCACCUUUCUCUCUCAAAAUGAAGUUAGUCAAUUAGGCUCCUGUAUCUAGCAACCAACUUCAGGAAAGCCAGUGUGUCUUCAUGCCUAAUGGACAUAACUGUCUGAGACUGAAGUAUUUGGAACCCUAAGGAUAAGGCUUUUAAAUCUGUACAACGAACCUGGGGAUCCAUUCACAAUUACUGAAGUACUUGAUGGAUUAAAUACCUUCAGCGGUUGCCUCCGGAAAACAAAACUGUGCACUGAAACUCAG